CUAACACAUGCAAGUCGAACGAGCGAGAGAGAGCUUGCUUUCUCGAGCGAGUGGCGAACGGGUGAGUAACGCGUGAGGAACCUGCCUCAAAGAGGGGGACAACAGUUGGAAACGACUGCUAAUACCGCAUAAGCCCACAGGUCGGCAUCGACCAGGGGGAAAAGGAGCAAUCCGCUUUGAGAUGGCCUCGCGUCCGAUUAGCUAGUUGGUGAGGUAAUGGCCCACCAAGGCAACGAUCGGUAGCCGGACUGAGAGGUUGAACGGCCACAUUGGGACUGAGACACGGCCCAGACUCCUACGGGAGGCAGCAGUGGGGAAUAUUGCACAAUGGGGGAAACCCUGAUGCAGCGACGCCGCGUGGAGGAAGAAGGUCUUCGGAUUGUAAACUCCUGUUGUUGAGGAAGAUAAUGACGGUACUCAACAAGGAAGUGACGGCUAACUACGUGCCAGCAGCCGCGGUAAAACGUAGGUCACAAGCGUUGUCCGGAAUUACUGGGUGUAAAGGGAGCGCAGGCGGGAAGACAAGUUGGAAGUGAAAUCUAUGGGCUCAACCCAUAAACUGCUUUCAAAACUGUUUUUCUUGAGUAGUGCAGAGGUAGGCGGAAUUCCCGGUGUAGCGGUGGAAUGCGUAGAUAUCGGGAGGACACCAGUGGCGAAGGC
This 660-nucleotide ribosomal RNA is filed under the name uncultured Lachnospiraceae bacterium. Its description in RNAcentral is "bacterial SSU rRNA". It matches the Rfam family "Bacterial small subunit ribosomal RNA", at positions 48 to 722 of the family's 1533-position model. The record is from RNAcentral. Lineage: Bacteria; Bacillati; Bacillota; Clostridia; Lachnospirales; Lachnospiraceae.